This 148-nucleotide non-coding RNA is filed under the name Homo sapiens (human). The record is from Rfam by way of RNAcentral. Lineage: Eukaryota; Metazoa; Chordata; Mammalia; Primates; Hominidae.
GCCGGGCAUAGUGGCGCAUGCCUGUAAUCCCAGCUACUCGGGAGGCUGAGGCAGAAGAAUCGUUUGAACCCGGGAGGCGGAAUUUGCAGUGAGCCAAGAUCAUGCCACUGAACUCUAGCCUGGGUGACAGAGUGAGACUCUGUCUCAA